CUAGCCGUAAACGAUGGGUACUAGGUGUGGGUGGUUUCGAUACCAUCCGUGCCGUAGUUAACGCAUUAAGUACCCCGCCUGGGGAGUACGUGCGCAAGCAUGAAACUCAAAGGAAUUGACGGGGGCCCGCACAAGCGGUGGAGCAUGUGGUUUAAUUCGAAGCAACGCGAAGAACCUUACCAGGUCUUGACAUCACCUAGCAAGCCAUGGAAACAUGGCUUCUCUUCGGAGCAGGGAGACAGGUGG
Molecule: ribosomal RNA, 246 nt
Filed under: uncultured bacterium
Lineage: Bacteria
Description: partial 16S ribosomal RNA
Rfam family: Bacterial small subunit ribosomal RNA
Source: RNAcentral